RNAcentral lists this ribosomal RNA (301 nucleotides) under uncultured bacterium. RNAcentral describes it as "partial 16S ribosomal RNA". It matches the Rfam family "Bacterial small subunit ribosomal RNA", at positions 509 to 807 of the family's 1533-position model. The record is from RNAcentral.
CAGUCGCCACGGUAAUACAGAGGCCUCAAGCGUUGUUCGGAUUCAUUGGGCGUAAAGGGUGCGUAGGCGGUACCGUAAGUCGGAUGUGAAAUCUUGGGGCUCAACCUCAAAACUGCAUUCGAUACUGCGGGGCUAGAGGACUGGAGAGGAGAGUGGAAUUCACGGUGUAGCAGUGAAAUGCGUAGAUAUCGUGAGGAAGACCAGCGGCGAAGGCGGCUCUCUGGACAGUUCCUGACGCUGAUGCACGAAGGCCAGGGAAGCAAACGGGAUUAGAUACCCGGGUAGUCCCUGUCUCUUAUAC